This 281-nucleotide unclassified non-coding RNA is filed under the name Hevea brasiliensis (rubber tree). Lineage: Eukaryota; Viridiplantae; Streptophyta; Magnoliopsida; Malpighiales; Euphorbiaceae. The record is from RNAcentral.
GGUGCAGCAACUGAGCGACCAUCUGAAAAGCAUGAAGGCGGCCAUAUUUCGAUUCUGAGUUUCAAGUUUAUUUAACAUUGCAUCAGAACAGGAUUGUCAUCUGGAAAUCUUGACCCUGAAAAGGAAGAAAAUGGAAUCUUUGCACUGCUUCUUUAUGGAUGCUUGUGUCUAAUUGCCAUAUAUGAACUUUGUUGAGAUCUGAAUAUAUAUUUUUAACACUUGGGAAUAUUUUUCUUUUAUUUAUUUUUGUUUUGAAAUAAAUUUGAGGCUUAUCAAAAAAA